This 200-nucleotide ribosomal RNA is filed under the name uncultured bacterium. RNAcentral's name for it is "partial 16S ribosomal RNA". It matches the Rfam family "Bacterial small subunit ribosomal RNA", at positions 8 to 204 of the family's 1533-position model. The record is from RNAcentral.
AGAGUUUGAUCCUGGCUCAGGAUGAACGCUAGCGGCAGGCUUAAUACAUGCAAGUCGAGGGGCAGCGCUGUAGCAAUACUGGCGGCGACCGGCAAACGGGUGCGGAACACGUACGCAACUUACCCCUAACUAAGGGAUAGCCCAGAGAAAUUUGGAUUAACCCCUUAUAGUACGACUGGUCGGCAUCGAUUGGUUGUUAA